Molecule: ribosomal RNA, 434 nt
Filed under: uncultured Actinomycetes bacterium
Lineage: Bacteria; Bacillati; Actinomycetota; Actinomycetes
Description: bacterial SSU rRNA
Rfam family: Bacterial small subunit ribosomal RNA
Source: RNAcentral
GGGGCCCGCACAAGCGGCGGAGCAUGUUGCUUAAUUUGACGCAACGCGAAGAACCUUACCAAGGUUUGACACGCAGGGAAAAGCCGUAGAGAUAUGGUGUCCGUAAGGGUCCUGCACAGGUGGUGCAUGGCUGUCGUCAGCUCGUGUCGUGAGAUGUUGGGUUAAGUCCCGCAACGAGCGCAACCCUCGUCCUAUGUUGCCAGCGGGUAAUGCCGGGGACUCAUAGGAGACUGCCGGGGUCAACUCGGAGGAAGGUGGGGAUGACGUCAAGUCCUCAUGCCCCUUAUGUCUUGGGCUGCAAACAUGCUACAAUGGCCGGUACAAAGGGUUGCGAGACCGCAAGGUGGAGCGAAUCCCAAAAAGCCGGUCUCAGUUCGGAUUGGGGUCUGCAACUCGACCCCAUGAAGUCGGAGUCGCUAGUAAUCGCAGAUCAG